Long non-coding RNA from Salmo salar (Atlantic salmon), 598 nucleotides. RefSeq lists it as uncharacterized. The record is from RefSeq and is a predicted model, not a curated record. Lineage: Eukaryota; Metazoa; Chordata; Actinopteri; Salmoniformes; Salmonidae.
CAGUAAGUUGUCUUACAAAACCUCUCCACUUCACUCUGCUGUAGGGUGGGAGAUGCAACAACCGCCUUGAGAACAGCACGAAGUGUGUUGGUGGUCUUUCUCUGGUCUGUGUCGUGGCAAGAAAGGAGAUACAUGGACAGCAUAUCUAAACCUGAGUCGAGUAAAGAUUGACCCCCUGAUCUAUGAUUCGUAGAUGUGGGAGAGGUGAGCACCUAUCAGUUCCUGCUGCUGUCCUUCACCCCUCAGUGCAGACUUCUGACCAUCGCUUAGGCCAGGAAGAAGUCAGCCAAGUUCAUCGCCAUGCAACGCACUACUGAUUGAGGAGACCAUGAGAAGGGAGUAGGCCACCUGACCAACACCAUUGCUGUGUGUGGUUAAAACCUCUCUAGGCUAGGCGUGCCGCUAGCGACCCACCUCGACAACAUCCGGUGAAAUUGCAGAGCGCCAAAUUCAAAUGACAGAAAUAGUCAUAACAAACAUUCAUAAAAAUACAAGUGUUAUAUAUCGACAUAAAGAUUAACUUCUUCUUAAUCCAGCCGCUUUGUCAGAUUUCAAAAAGGCUUUACGGCGAAAGCAUACCAUGCGAUUAUCUGAAGAC